This is a non-coding RNA of Trichomonas vaginalis G3, 74 nucleotides long. The record is from Rfam. NCBI's taxonomy places the organism in Eukaryota, Parabasalia, Trichomonadida, Trichomonadidae.
GCGCCGUUGGCCCAAUUGGAUAAGGCGACUGCCUACGGAGCAGUAGAGUCCAGGUUCAAGUCCUGGACGGCGCG